GUCGAACGGUAACAGGAAGCAGCUUGCUGCUUCGCUGACGAGUGGCGGACGGGUGAGUAAUGUCUGGGAAACUGCCUGAUGGAGGGGGAUAACUACUGGAAACGGUAGCUAAUACCGCAUAACGUCGCAAGACCAAAGAGGGGGACCUUCGGGCCUCUUGCCAUCGGAUGUGCCCAGAUGGGAUUAGCUAGUAGGUGGGGUAACGGCUCACCUAGGCGACGAUCCCUAGCUGGUCUGAGAGGAUGACCAGCCACACUGGAACUGAGACACGGUCCAGACUCCUACGGGAGGCAGCAGUGGGGAAUAUUGCACAAUGGGCGCAAGCCUGAUGCAGCCAUGCCGCGUGUAUGAAGAAGGCCUUCGGGUUGUAAAGUACUUUCAGCGGGGAGGAAGGCGAUAAGGUUAAUAACCUUGUCGAUUGACGUUACCCGCAGAAGAAGCACCGGCUAACUCCGUGCCAGCAGCCGCGGUAAUACGGAGGGUGCAAGCGUUAAUCGGAAUUACUGGGCGUAAAGCGCACGCAGGCGGUCUGUCAAGUCGGAUGUGAAAUCCCCGGGCUCAACCUGGGAACUGCAUUCGAAACUGGCAGGCUAGAGUCUUGUAGAGGGGGGUAGAAUUCCAGGUGUAGCGGUGAAAUGCGUAGAGAUCUGGAGGAAUACCGGUGGCGAA
This 669-nucleotide ribosomal RNA is filed under the name uncultured Enterobacter sp. RNAcentral's name for it is "bacterial SSU rRNA". It matches the Rfam family "Bacterial small subunit ribosomal RNA", at positions 61 to 719 of the family's 1533-position model. Lineage: Bacteria; Pseudomonadati; Pseudomonadota; Gammaproteobacteria; Enterobacterales; Enterobacteriaceae. The record is from RNAcentral.